AGCUACAGUCAAACAUUAGACAGUAUUUGCUUGUGUACUUUCAGAUCAAGAUUUAUCUAUUAUCUAUUAUUUAUUAUUUUUCAGUGCAGAGGAUCAAACCCAGGGCUUUGUGCAUCCUGGGUGCCAGACAAGUUCUCUACCACAGAAUUUAUCGUCAGAUCCUUUGCUUGUAAUGUCAGAUCCAGUGCAAUAGGGAUAUCCCGCUAUCUUUGACUCUCUCACCUUCAAAUUCUUGGAAGCUUGCUAUUGUGAUUCUUGUGUUCCCACACAACAAGGACUUUUAUUUUUUCACUGUAGACUUUGUUCUGCUCCAUCUGGUGAGGGAGAGUUUCUUUAGUGUUUUGGCUUUCACUGUUGCUCAUUAUCUGAUUUCUGUGGGAUAGGCAGAAAACUUAGGAUAAUCUAGAGUAGCACAAAUUUUUGAAUGUCUAUUGUUUCCCAAGUAACUCCCAGGAGAUAGCAUGGUUUAUAUUAGCUGUGAAUGUGUUCUCUGUAGAAAUGAAUCAUAUGCGGAUCUGACCAGUAUAUAUUGAUUGCCUUCAACAAAGAGUUGAUGUUGUUGAUGAGUUUGUGCCAGUUUUAUGAUAGAGGACAUCAGAAGAGAUACAAGCAAGUCUCUGAGCUUUGGAAAGCUUGGCUCCAAGCAUGACUCCACAACUCAUGAGGGUGUUGUACUCAUAUUACAACGAAGCACCUGGGAUCCAUUUGCCAGUAUGCUUGAACAUUCUCAACACAGGGUGCUUCACUGCAGAAUGAUUCUCUAGUAAUUAAUUCCCUUUGUAAACAAGGAAAUGAGAAACAAGAAAAUAAAUCUAAAAAAAAAAAA
Long non-coding RNA from Mus musculus (house mouse), 826 nucleotides. RefSeq annotates it as predicted gene, 51761. Lineage: Eukaryota; Metazoa; Chordata; Mammalia; Rodentia; Muridae. The transcript has 2 exons. The record is from RefSeq and is a predicted model, not a curated record.